RNAcentral lists this long non-coding RNA (624 nucleotides) under Canis lupus dingo (dingo). Its description in RNAcentral is "lncRNA (ENSCAFG00020013377.1)". The record is from RNAcentral. Lineage: Eukaryota; Metazoa; Chordata; Mammalia; Carnivora; Canidae.
ACCUCACGGUUUCCUUUUCCUGCCCUACAGUACGACUCCUUCGGCGCCACUUUAAGAUCCCUUCUUUAAAAAUCCCAUCUGAACGGCUUUUAAAAAUGUGUUGCUGUUGGGGGUUGCGGAGAAAAUUCAUUUUUCCAUGACUUUUCCAAUCAGGUACCGCAUUGGUGCAAAAUUCAUUUUUCCAUGACUUUUCCAAUCGGGUACCGCAUUGGUGCAAAAUUCAUUUUUCCAUGACUUUUCCAAUCAGGUACCGCAUUGGUGCAGGCUUCUUCCCAAAGCAUGUGCCCAGGCCCAGUUCUGUGCAGAGAGGAUGCGGAACAGCAGGCUGAUAGGACUUUCUGGAGCUUCAGUUUUACUAUGAGAUUUGCAACAGCUGAAGUUCAGCAAUUUACAAGGAUCUCCAGAAGUGGAUGGCGCACUGGUUCUUGUUCUAGACCGUGACUUCAUUUUUUCCCUCCCAAUCUGUGGAAUCCUAAGCUGUGGGUUCCCGGAAGAGUAUUCUUCGUAGAAUGGGCAAUUUUGCAAUUAUUGUUAGUAAUUGAAGAAAGGAAGCUUUUCACAUUGAACUCAGAAUUUCACAUUCAGAGUUUCUAUGAAAAUGCAAUAUGUUAGAUGUAGAACUAU